RNAcentral lists this ribosomal RNA (370 nucleotides) under uncultured organism. Its description in RNAcentral is "partial 16S ribosomal RNA". It matches the Rfam family "Bacterial small subunit ribosomal RNA", at positions 527 to 896 of the family's 1533-position model. The record is from RNAcentral.
AGAGGGUGCAAGCGUUAAUCGGAAUUACUGGGCGUAAAGGGUGCGUAGGUGGAUAAAUAAGUUGGGUGUAAAAUCCCCGGGCUCAACCUGGGCAGGUCAUUCAAAACUGUUUAUCUAGAGUACAGUAGAGGGAAGUGGAAUUUCCGGUGUAGCGGUGAAAUGCGUAGAUAUCGGAAGGAACACCAGAGGCGAAGGCGACUUUCUGGACUGUAACUGACACUGAGGCACGAAAGCGUGGGGAGCGAACAGGAUUAGAUACCCUGGUAGUCCACGCUGUAAACGAUGAAAACUAGCCGUUGGUAGACGAUGUUUAUCAGUGGCGCAGCUAACGCAUUAAGUUUUCCGCCUGGGGAGUACGGCCGCAAGGCUA